AGAGUUUGAUCAUGGCUCAGGACGAACACUGGCGGCGUGCCUAACACAUGCAAGUGGAGCGACGAACCAGGGCUUGCCCUGGGGCGAAGCCGCGAACGGGUGAGUAACACGUGGGUAACCUGCCCCGAUGACCGGGACAACCCGAGGAAACUCGGGCUAAUACCGGAUAUGCUCGCCGCGCUCAAGCGCGGUGAGUAAAGGAAGCUUCGGCCUCCGCUUCGGGAGGGGCCCGUGGCCCAUUAGCUUGUUGGUGAGGUAACGGCUCACCAAGGCAACGAUGGGUAGCUGGUCUGAGAGGGCGAUCAGCCACACUGGGACUGAGACACGGCCCAGACUCCUACGGGAGGCAGCAGUGGGGAAUCUUGCGCAAUGCGCGAAAGCGUGACGCAGCAACGCCGCGUGGGGGAAGAAGGCCUUCGGGUUGUAAACCCCUUUCAGGAGGGACGAAGGUGCGGCGGCGAACAGUCGACCGUACUGACGGUACCUCCAGAAGAAGCCCCGGCUAACUACGUGCCAGCAGCCGCGGUA
This 528-nucleotide ribosomal RNA is filed under the name uncultured Actinomycetes bacterium. RNAcentral describes it as "bacterial SSU rRNA". It matches the Rfam family "Bacterial small subunit ribosomal RNA", at positions 8 to 522 of the family's 1533-position model. Lineage: Bacteria; Bacillati; Actinomycetota; Actinomycetes. The record is from RNAcentral.